RNAcentral lists this non-coding RNA (683 nucleotides) under Pan troglodytes (chimpanzee). Lineage: Eukaryota; Metazoa; Chordata; Mammalia; Primates; Hominidae. The record is from RNAcentral.
ACGCAGUCCGAGAGUCCAGACGCAUGCCGACUGGAAGACCAAAGAGAUUAGCACGAGGAAGGAUGAUCUUCCACAAAAAGAGCUAUGUACAGCUAUAAUGGAAAAUACUCGGUGAGGAGAAACGAAAUAAAAGGCAAUACAGCGUAGCCAAACCCGGGUUAGCUGCCGGUGGAGUUCAAGAGCGCGCCGCGGUCCCGCCCCCGCCAGCCCCGCCCCGGCGAGAAAAGCAUAUGCAAAUUUUCGAGCGCCCGACGCGCGGUCUUCUGGGUAAAACCGAGCCGCCGCUUUUGCGACCCUUCAGGGCCUCAGAAAACAAAGAAUUGGGGUGUCGUCGAAAGCUGUGGAGGCUGGAGAGUACAGUAUGAAGUGGAGGAGUAACUAUCCUGCGGAGAAAACUGACAGACGCAACCUCAGCCAGACGGUGGAGGUCAACAUCAAGUACACGUCCUAUGAUGUCAUGGAAACGGCAUUUUGCCUCUGUGAUAGUCCUUCCCAAGACCCUUAAGCCCAGUCUAAACAUGAGGAAAACAUCAGAGAAAUUCCAAUAGAGGGGCAUCCUACAAAACACCUGAGCAGUACCCCUCAAAACUGUCCAGGUCAUCAAAAACAAGAACUCUGAGAAACCGUCACAGCAACAGGAGCCAAGGGAAACAUAACAACUAAAGGUAAUGAGGUAUCCUGGA